Molecule: ribosomal RNA, 497 nt
Filed under: uncultured bacterium
Lineage: Bacteria
Description: partial 16S ribosomal RNA
Rfam family: Bacterial small subunit ribosomal RNA
Source: RNAcentral
GAUGAACGCUGGCGGCGUGCCUAACACAUGCAAGUCGAGCGAACAGACGAGGAUCUUGCUCCUCUGACGUUAGCGGCGGACGGGUGAGUAACACGUGACUAACCUACCUAUAAGACUGGGAUAACGUCGAGAAACCGGAACUAAUACCAGAUAAUAUAUUGAACAUCAUGGUUCAAUAGUAGAAGACGGUUUUGCGGUUGCGUAUAGAUGGAUCCGGGCCGCAUUAGAUAGUUGGUAAGGUAACGGCUUACCAAGGCAACUAUGCGUAGCCGACCUGAGAGAGUGAUAGCCGGCAUUGGAACUGAGCCAGGGACCAGAGUACUAAGGGAGGCAGCAGUAGGCAACGUGACGCAGUAGUCGAGAGCCUGGCGCAGCGGCGGAGCGCGAGUGGUGACGGCGUUCGGUUCGUAAAAAAGUCUUACUAGUGAAAAACCAAUGUCUACGUAACUGUGCACGUAGUGACGGUACCUGAAGAGAAAGCCACGGCUAACUACGUG